GAGGUACUCCCUCCGUCCGGAAAUACUUGUCGGAGAAAGGAAAAAAAAUGAAUGUAUCUAGAACUAAAAUACAUCUAGAUAUAUAUAUCAAUUUCUGAGAUAAGUAUUUCCGGACGGAGGGAGUAGUAA
Molecule: non-coding RNA, 129 nt
Organism: Triticum aestivum (bread wheat)
Lineage: Eukaryota; Viridiplantae; Streptophyta; Magnoliopsida; Poales; Poaceae
Source: Rfam